This 378-nucleotide long non-coding RNA is filed under the name Lupinus angustifolius (narrow-leaved blue lupine). RNAcentral's name for it is "long non-coding RNA (LANG_LNC000550)". Lineage: Eukaryota; Viridiplantae; Streptophyta; Magnoliopsida; Fabales; Fabaceae. The record is from RNAcentral.
CUUGAAUGCGAUUUAUGACGAUAAAAAACGAAUGGCACCUACAAAAAUCUACAAUACAAUUAGAAAAUGUACAUCACACCAUAUUCUAGACAAAAUAAAUAAUGUUCACAAAAAUUUUCAUUCAUCUUCAUUCAUACUGAUGAAUUCUUUUGUGCCAUACUCGAAGAGAUCACCCGUAAUCGUUAUAUUGAGUACAACAUCAUCUCCAAUGCCUUAUACAUGCAUAUUAAGAAGAUUGCAAAAUUUGAUGUUCUACGAGUUUGCAUGUACAUCUUACUUUGUUCCUAGAUGGGUCGCAAUUGACUCACUUUUAGGUUUGAUUUGUUUGGAUCUCACUAUGGAUUUUUUGGUACAUAAAUUCUCUAUUACCCAUUUUAU